CCUACGGGAGGCUGCAGUGGGGAAUAUUGCACAAUGGGGGAAACCCUGAUGCAGAGACGCCGCGUGAGUGAAGAAGUCAUUCGUUAUGUAAAGCUCUAUCAGCAGGGAAGAAAAUGACGGUACCUGUGUAAGAAGCCCCGGCGAACUACGUGCCAGCAGCCGCGGUAAUACGUAGGGGGCAAGCGUUAUCCGGAUUUACUGGGUGUAACGGGAGCGUAGACGGCAGUGCAAGUCUGGAGUGAAAGGCGGGGGCUCAACCCCCGGACUGCUCUGGAAACUGUACGGCUGGAGUGCAGGAGAGGUAAGUGGAAUUCCUAGUGUAGCGGUGAAAUGCGUAGAUAUUAGGAGGAACACCAGUGGCGAAGGCGGCUUACUGGACUGUAACUGACGUUGAGGCUCGAAAGCGUGGGGAGCAAACAGGAUUAGAUACCCUUGUAGUC
This 440-nucleotide ribosomal RNA is filed under the name uncultured bacterium. RNAcentral describes it as "partial 16S ribosomal RNA". It matches the Rfam family "Bacterial small subunit ribosomal RNA", at positions 338 to 795 of the family's 1533-position model. The record is from RNAcentral.